GGAUGAUUAAAUUGAAGGAAGUGUUAUUGCAUGUGAGUUAGAAGUAAAUCCACAUGGCCCUCAUUACUUUGGCUUGAACUUUUAAAUUUUUAAUGUACUUUGUUUAAUCCAGUGAUUUGGCAGUUUUCUUGUUGCUUGGUUCUUUUUUGCAUUCACAGCAGAGCUGUGUGUAAACCACCCGACACACUCCCUAAUGUCCUAGUCCAUAAGUGUAAAAAUUAGAGGCAUAAACUCAUUCAUUUUUAGUUCUGUUUCCUAGCCCAAUGCAGGUGAGGAUUAAACAUGGUUUCUCACUCUGUUUGUUUUUUCCAUAGUGGUGUGUUUGACCUUAGUGUUGAGAAGUUUGGGUAACUAAGAAGAGAGCAUGAGAAGGCAACAUUUUGACCCACAGUUAGCUUCUGGUUUGAGAAUUCUCUUUCCUUUCCCUGCAGAAAAUCACCUCUUUAUGAUAACUGCUUUCUCCAUGCUCCUGAUGGACAGCCUCUCUGCACUUGUGAUAGAAGAAAAGCUCAGUGGUACCUGGACAAAGGCAUUGGCGAGCUGGUGAGUGAAGAGCCCUUUGUGGUGAAGCUACGGUUUGAACCUGCAGGAAGGCCCGAAUCUCCUGGAGACUAUUACUUGAUGGUUAAAGAGAACCUGUGUGUAGUGUGUGGCAAGAGAGACUCCUACAUUCGG
This 675-nucleotide small RNA is filed under the name Pongo abelii (Sumatran orangutan). RNAcentral describes it as "retained intron". The record is from RNAcentral. Lineage: Eukaryota; Metazoa; Chordata; Mammalia; Primates; Hominidae.